Molecule: ribosomal RNA, 497 nt
Filed under: uncultured bacterium
Lineage: Bacteria
Description: partial 16S ribosomal RNA
Rfam family: Bacterial small subunit ribosomal RNA
Source: RNAcentral
GAUGAACGCUGGCGGCGUGCCUAAUACAUGCAAGUCGAGCGAACGGACGAGAAGCUUGCUUCUCUGAUGUUAGCGGCGGACGGGUCAGUAACACGUGGAUAACCUACCUAUAAGACUGGGAUAACUUCGGGAAACCGGAGCUAAUACCGGAUAAUAUUUUGAACCGCAUGGUUCAAAAGUGAAAGACGGUCUUGCUGUCACUUAUAGAUGGAUCCGCGCUGCAUUAGCUAGUUGGUAAGGUAACGGCUUACCAAGGCAACGAUGCAUAGCCGACCUGAGAGGGUGAUCGGCCACACUGGAACUGAGACACGGUCCAGACUCCUACGGGAGGCAGCAGUAGGGAAUCUUCCGCAAUGGGCGAAAGCCUGACGGAGCAACGCCGCGUGAGUGAUGAAGGUCUUCGGAUCGUAAAACUCUGUUAUUAGGGAAGAACAUAUGUGUAAGUAACUGUGCACAUCUUGACGGUACCUAAUCAGAAAGCCACGGCUAACUACGUG